RNAcentral lists this ribosomal RNA (1440 nucleotides) under Salmonella enterica subsp. enterica serovar Agama. Its description in RNAcentral is "bacterial SSU rRNA". It matches the Rfam family "Bacterial small subunit ribosomal RNA". Lineage: Bacteria; Pseudomonadati; Pseudomonadota; Gammaproteobacteria; Enterobacterales; Enterobacteriaceae. The record is from RNAcentral.
GAGUAAUGUCUGGGAAACUGCCUGAUGGAGGGGGAUAACUACUGGAAACGGUGGCUAAUACCGCAUAACGUCGCAAGACCAAAGAGGGGGACCUUCGGGCCUCUUGCCAUCAGAUGUGCCCAGAUGGGAUUAGCUUGUUGGUGAGGUAACGGCUCACCAAGGCGACGAUCCCUAGCUGGUCUGAGAGGAUGACCAGCCACACUGGAACUGAGACACGGUCCAGACUCCUACGGGAGGCAGCAGUGGGGAAUAUUGCACAAUGGGCGCAAGCCUGAUGCAGCCAUGCCGCGUGUAUGAAGAAGGCCUUCGGGUUGUAAAGUACUUUCAGCGGGGAGGAAGGUGUUGUGGUUAAUAACCGCAGCAAUUGACGUUACCCGCAGAAGAAGCACCGGCUAACUCCGUGCCAGCAGCCGCGGUAAUACGGAGGGUGCAAGCGUUAAUCGGAAUUACUGGGCGUAAAGCGCACGCAGGCGGUCUGUCAAGUCGGAUGUGAAAUCCCCGGGCUCAACCUGGGAACUGCAUUCGAAACUGGCAGGCUUGAGUCUUGUAGAGGGGGGUAGAAUUCCAGGUGUAGCGGUGAAAUGCGUAGAGAUCUGGAGGAAUACCGGUGGCGAAGGCGGCCCCCUGGACAAAGACUGACGCUCAGGUGCGAAAGCGUGGGGAGCAAACAGGAUUAGAUACCCUGGUAGUCCACGCCGUAAACGAUGUCUACUUGGAGGUUGUGCCCUUGAGGCGUGGCUUCCGGAGCUAACGCGUUAAGUAGACCGCCUGGGGAGUACGGCCGCAAGGUUAAAACUCAAAUGAAUUGACGGGGGCCCGCACAAGCGGUGGAGCAUGUGGUUUAAUUCGAUGCAACGCGAAGAACCUUACCUGGUCUUGACAUCCACGGAAGUUUUCAGAGAUGAGAAUGUGCCUUCGGGAACCGUGAGACAGGUGCUGCAUGGCUGUCGUCAGCUCGUGUUGUGAAAUGUUGGGUUAAGUCCCGCAACGAGCGCAACCCUUAUCCUUUGUUGCCAGCGGUUAGGCCGGGAACUCAAAGGAGACUGCCAGUGAUAAACUGGAGGAAGGUGGGGAUGACGUCAAGUCAUCAUGGCCCUUACGACCAGGGCUACACACGUGCUACAAUGGCGCAUACAAAGAGAAGCGACCUCGCGAGAGCAAGCGGACCUCAUAAAGUGCGUCGUAGUCCGGAUUGGAGUCUGCAACUCGACUCCAUGAAGUCGGAAUCGCUAGUAAUCGUGGAUCAGAAUGCCACGGUGAAUACGUUCCCGGGCCUUGUACACACCGCCCGUCACACCAUGGGAGUGGGUUGCAAAAGAAGUAGGUAGCUUAACCUUCGGGAGGGCGCUUACCACUUUGUGAUUCAUGACUGGGGUGAAGUCGUAACAAGGUAACCGUAGGGGAACCUGCGGUUGGAUCACCUCCUUACCUUAAAGAAGC